UCUAUGCCGAAAUCGAAGGCCAGCAGUUGAAGGGACCAACGAGCUAAGCGACCAUCCAGGUUCUUCAUGGUCAUGAGCCAUUUGAGACUGGCGUGGUCAGUUAUGACUGUAAACGGCAUAAGCUCUACGUACGGACGGAACUUAAAUAUCGCCAUGAGGGCUGCCAGACACUCCUUCUCUGUCCCCGAGUAGUUUUUUUGGUGGCAAUUCAGUUUGGCAGAGAAAAACGCUAUGGGCCUCUCGUUCUGCUCGUCAUCCCUUUGGAAGAGUACGGCUCCUACUCCAUAAUGUGAUGCGUCGCCCUGUAUGUAGAAGUGCCGCUUGAAAUCCGCGUGUACCAGGACUGGUGCCGAGGGCCGGUACCAGCCCGCAGUUCCCAGGAAACUACGCAAUUCUCGAAUCAAAGAUCGCGGCUCGGGAAUGCGCAAAAUGGCCGACACACGAUCCGGAUCCAUCUUCAGCGCUCCUCCUCCCACUAUAAAUCCCAGACGCUCGGCAACCUGUCGCAGAAUCU
Drosophila miranda is the source of this 514-nucleotide long non-coding RNA. RefSeq lists it as uncharacterized. Lineage: Eukaryota; Metazoa; Arthropoda; Insecta; Diptera; Drosophilidae. The transcript has 3 exons. The record is from RefSeq and is a predicted model, not a curated record.